This is a long non-coding RNA of Apis dorsata (giant honeybee), 154 nucleotides long. RefSeq lists it as uncharacterized. NCBI's taxonomy places the organism in Eukaryota, Metazoa, Arthropoda, Insecta, Hymenoptera, Apidae. The record is from RefSeq and is a predicted model, not a curated record. The transcript has 3 exons.
UAUAUAUAUAUAUAUACACAUAUUCUGAGAUAUUAUUGUGCGCACUUGCUACUUAUGUUUUUAAUGAUCAAAGAAUUGACCUUCAGACUUUAAGAAAAAUAUAUUGCAAUAUUUAUAUUUUGGAAUUUAAAAAAUUUUUAAAUUUAUUAUUUUU